Molecule: long non-coding RNA, 361 nt
Organism: Rhipicephalus sanguineus (brown dog tick)
Lineage: Eukaryota; Metazoa; Arthropoda; Arachnida; Ixodida; Ixodidae
Exons: 3
Source: RefSeq, a predicted model, not a curated record
CAAAGUUUCCAACGUGCCGAAUCAUAAUAGUUGUAGCCGUAGUUGCUUUUAUUCUGUCCGCUAUGCUAGGAGGGAUGCUUGGUGACGAGCUGGAACCUGUACCUGUGGCGAUCCAAGGGUUGCGGAACUUUAAAAGACCUAUAAUUCUUCCUUUUCGAGGUUCCAUAAAGAUAAGUCACCUAGGCAGUACCAACGGACGAAAGCCGUCGAAGGCCUCUGCUCUAAGUAUCUUGUCAUAGCACUAGGUGCUGCGGUGGUGGCUGAACCUGGUAGAAGUGGAGAUGAAGACUACAGUUGGGGAGCGUUGCGACAAAAUUCUCGCCGCAGCUGUGCUCCCCCAGCGGGAGAAAUGAUAAAUAAA